UUCCAGACUCCUACGGGAGGCAGCAGUGGGGAAUAUUGCGCAAUGGGCGAAAGCCUGACGCAGCGACGCCGCGUGAGGGAUGAAGGUCUUCGGAUCGUAAACCUCUGUCAGCAGGGAAGAACGGUCACUGUGCUAAUCAGCAGUGAAUUGACGGUACCUGCAAAGGAAGCACCGGCUAACUCCGUGCCAGCAGCCGCGGUAAUACGGAGGAUGCGAGCGUUAUCCGGAUUUAUUGGGUUUAAAGGGUGCGUAGGCGGGCUUUUAAGUCAGCGGUAAAAAUUCGGGGCUCAACCCCGUCCGGCCGUUGAAACUGGGGGCCUUGAGUGGGCGAGAAGAAGGCGGAAUGCGUGGUGUAGCGGUGAAAUGCAUAGAUAUCACGCAGAACCCCGAUUGCGAAGGCAGCCUUCCGGCGCCCUACUGACGCUGAGGCACGAAAGCGUGGGUAUCGAACAGGAUUAGAUACCCCCGUACCC
Molecule: ribosomal RNA, 473 nt
Filed under: uncultured bacterium
Lineage: Bacteria
Description: bacterial SSU rRNA
Rfam family: Bacterial small subunit ribosomal RNA
Source: RNAcentral